AUCGAUUCUCAGCCUUUUGGCUAAGAUCAAGUGUAGAAAUAUUUCUACACAGGGUCCCUGUGUUCUACCUCCUAUAUUAGGAGAAACUUUGUUUCUCUUUGCUUCAUAUGAUUGCUGAACCACAU
Oryctolagus cuniculus (rabbit) is the source of this 125-nucleotide small nuclear RNA. Its record names the gene U2. It matches the Rfam family "U2 spliceosomal RNA". Rfam says of the family: U2 is a small nuclear RNA (snRNA) component of the spliceosome (involved in pre-mRNA splicing). Complementary binding between U2 snRNA (in an area lying towards the 5' end but 3' to hairpin I) and the branchpoint sequence (BPS) of the intron results the bulging out of an unpaired adenosine, on the BPS, which initiates a nucleophilic attack at the intronic 5' splice site, thus starting the first of two transesterification reactions that mediate splicing. The record is from Ensembl. NCBI's taxonomy places the organism in Eukaryota, Metazoa, Chordata, Mammalia, Lagomorpha, Leporidae.